UACAUGGGGUGCAAACGUUGCUCGGAAUUAUUGGGCGUAAAGGGCUCGUAGGCGGCCAACUAAGUCGGAUGUGAAAUCCCCAGGCUUAACCUGGGAACUGCAUCCGAUACUGGAUGGCUUGAAUCCGGGAGAGGGAUGCAGAAUUCCAGGUGUAGCGGUGAAAUGCGUAGAUAUCUGGAGGAAUACCGGUGGCGAAGGCGGCAUCCUGGACCGGCAUUGACGCUGAGUGAGCGAAAGCCAGGGGAGCAAACGGG
This 254-nucleotide ribosomal RNA is filed under the name uncultured bacterium. RNAcentral describes it as "partial 16S ribosomal RNA". It matches the Rfam family "Bacterial small subunit ribosomal RNA", at positions 524 to 776 of the family's 1533-position model. The record is from RNAcentral.